Molecule: long non-coding RNA, 52 nt
Filed under: Haliotis rufescens (red abalone)
Lineage: Eukaryota; Metazoa; Mollusca; Gastropoda; Lepetellida; Haliotidae
Description: uncharacterized LOC125379162
Source: RNAcentral
UCCUGAAAUAGACACAUCAACACAAUGCAGGCUAUGCAUAAAGGGUGCUAAU